RNAcentral lists this ribosomal RNA (406 nucleotides) under uncultured bacterium. RNAcentral describes it as "partial 16S ribosomal RNA". It matches the Rfam family "Bacterial small subunit ribosomal RNA", at positions 30 to 526 of the family's 1533-position model. The record is from RNAcentral.
AUUGAACGCUGGCGGCAGGCCUAACACAUGCAAGUCGAACGAGUGGCGGACGGGUGAGUAAUGUCUGGGAAACUGCCCUAUGGAGGGGGAUAACUACUGGAAACGGUAGCUAAUACCGCAUACCAUCGGAUGUGCCCAGAUGGGAUUAGGUAGUAGGUGGGGUAACGGCUCACCAAGGCGACGAUCCCUAGCUGGUCUGAGAGGAUGACCAGCCACACUGGGACUGAGACACGGCCCAGACUCCUACGGGAGGCAGCAGUGGGGAAUAUUGCACAAUGGGCGCAAGCCUGAUGCAGCCAUGCCGCGUGAAUGAAGAAGGCCUUCGGGUUGUAAAGUACUUUCGGUGGGGAGGCGUUACUCGCAGAAGAAGCACCGGCUAACUCCGUGCCAGCAGCCGCGGUAAUAC